GAUGAACGCUGGCGGCGUGCCUAAUACAUGCAAGUCGAGCGAACGGACGAGAAGCUUGCUUCUCUGAUGUUAGCGGCGGACGGGUGAGUAACACGUGGAUAACCUACCUAUAAGACUGGGAUAACUUCGGGAAACCGGAGCUAAUACCGGAUAAUAUUUUGAACCGCAUGGUUCAAAAGUGAAAGACGGUCUUGCUGUCACUCAUAGAUGGAUCCGCGCUGCAUUAGCUAGUUGGUAAGGUAACGGCUUACCAAGGCAACGAUGCUUAGCCGACCUGAGAGGGUGAUCGGCCACACUGGAACUGAGACGCGGUCCAGACUCCUACGGGAGGCAGCAGUAGGGAAUCUUCCGCAAUGGGCGAAAGCCUGACGGAGCAACGCCGCGUGAGUGAUGAAGGUCUUCGGAUCGUAAAACUCUGUUAUUAGGGAAGAACAUAUGUGUAAGUAACUGUGCACAUCUUGACGGUACCUAAUCAGAAAGCCACGGCUAACUACGUG
RNAcentral lists this ribosomal RNA (497 nucleotides) under uncultured bacterium. RNAcentral's name for it is "partial 16S ribosomal RNA". It matches the Rfam family "Bacterial small subunit ribosomal RNA", at positions 28 to 507 of the family's 1533-position model. The record is from RNAcentral.